Molecule: ribosomal RNA, 468 nt
Filed under: uncultured bacterium
Lineage: Bacteria
Description: partial 16S ribosomal RNA
Rfam family: Bacterial small subunit ribosomal RNA
Source: RNAcentral
GGAUGAACGCUGGCGGCGUGCUUAACACAUGCAAGUCGAACGGAAAGGCCCAAGCUUGCUUGGGUACUCGAGUGGCGAACGGGUGAGUAACACGUGGGUGAUCUGCCCUGCACUUCGGGAUAAGCCUGGGAAACUGGGUCUAAUACUGGAUAGGACCACUUCUUGGAUGUUGUGGUGGAAAGUUUUUUCGGUGUGGGAUGGGCUCGCGGCCUAUCAGCUUGUUGGUGGGGUAAUGGCCUACCAAGGCGUCGACGGGUAGCCGGCCUGAGAGGGUGUACGGCCACAUUGGGACUGAGAUACGGCCCAGACUCCUACGGGAGGCAGCAGUGGGGAAUAUUGCACAAUGGGCGCAAGCCUGAUGCAGCGACGCCGCGUGGGGGAUGACGGCCUUCGGGUUGUAAACUCCUUUCGCUAGGGACGAAGCGUUUUGUGACGGUACCUGGAGAAGAAGCACCGGCUAACUACGUG